Long non-coding RNA from Cyprinodon tularosa, 401 nucleotides. RefSeq lists it as uncharacterized. Lineage: Eukaryota; Metazoa; Chordata; Actinopteri; Cyprinodontiformes; Cyprinodontidae. The record is from RefSeq and is a predicted model, not a curated record. The transcript has 2 exons.
UUUGUUGUGAAACAGUUACAGGUAGGAGUUGAAUUUGAAGCCAGCACAAGGAUGCAAGACACUUCAGCAUCUUUUGGUUACCAACUGGACCUUCCCAAAGCCAAUUUGCUUUUUAAAGGAACGAUUGACAGUAAUUGGGUGGUAGGGGCAACCAUUGAAAAGAAACUAGUACCUCUGCCUCUUACUUUGGCUUUGGGGGCUUUCCUCAACCAUCGCAAAAACAAGUUCCAAUGUGGCUUUGGAGUCACUAUUGGGUAAAGGUGGAUGGGGCGACUGGAACCACCUACAGACCACGGCUUGGACUGGCACAGAGACACACAGGAAGCUGAACUACGUUUUAGGAAUUGGAUUCAAAGACUCUUUUACUACUGUGAUUUCUGGGGCUGAUGGGGAGAAAAAAA